This is a long non-coding RNA of Xenia sp. Carnegie-2017, 2540 nucleotides long. RefSeq lists it as uncharacterized. The transcript is spliced from 6 exons. Lineage: Eukaryota; Metazoa; Cnidaria; Anthozoa; Malacalcyonacea; Xeniidae. The record is from RefSeq and is a predicted model, not a curated record.
AAAUCAACAUGGCGGAAUUAAGCAAGAGUGGAAGAAACAUGCUUCUUCGUCAACAGAGUCCAAACCACUUUGUCGGAAUAUUAGCAUUUAUGGUCUAUUUCUCCAAGAUUUCUUGAAGAAACUCCUUUAAAUUAUUUGCUGUACCUUGUCCAACUUCAAUGCCUUUUUCGAGAAAUCCUGAUUCAUGAUUGCCAGACUGCAACUUAUAGCAAAUCCAUUGUUGGUGUCGCAUGGCCAAAGUAAAUGGUGAAAAGCAAAGAGAUGUGAUUUGUAGCAAACUAAGAAAAAGUUUCCAUCGGUCAUUUUCUGGAGGAACAAUAUUUCCAAUUAUGAGUGCACUUGCAAGACAAUAUCGACAUGGCUUGUUUGCACUGCCGCUCUCUUUAAAUCCUCCUAACAACUGUGCCCCAAGAUUGUCAGCAGAUGUGUAUGCUAUGGAUCCACAGAAGGUCUCGUCUACACCUUUAAUGUCGAAGGAAUGACCACUGUUCUGAAACCAAAGUGGAAAAGUGAAGUUGUUUACUUUAUUAUGCUGCUGUAUGAGCUGAGCAUACCUUUUCUAACUUUUUUAAAUCAGUAACGAAUGGUUUUAGUACUGCAUCAAUUCCAUACUCUUUAAUGUUAGACGUUUUGCAUAGACACAGAAGCUGAAUUGCCUUCAUCGAUGACCGAUUUAAGGGAUUAAUAUUACCCAGUGUAUAGUAGAAUGCUCCUAAAAAUUUAUAUGUGUAAUUAUGAAAGUUCUAAUUUAAUAAUUUCGCGUUUGAUUAAUUUAUUUUACUUUACCAAUUUUAUGUUUAGUUGCCCUCGAUCCAAGCGGAUUGCAUGUUUCUAAAUCGUCGUAAUACAACAUAAUCUGAAGAGCCUCUGUUUUUUUCGAAAAAAUUGGGUGCAUUUUGAACUGAUGACCAUCACAAUAGUCUCUCAGAAGGCCAUCUGAACUCGUGUGAGGAUUUUUGACCUAAAAUUUAGAGGUGAAAGAAAUAACUUCUAAGAAACAUCAUUGUGAAGAUGAUAAUAUCUCAAGUGAAAUCAUCGUAAAUGCAACUUUUCCAAUUUGCCAUAAUGUAUAUUUGACUUAACUAUUAUUUAAUUUCAAAGACCAUGCACCUGACCUCUGCUAAAAUGAAGUCGUCAUUUAGAAGCUGUUGCAGACUAUCCAAAAGUGGUAUAUAAUAUGCCUCAUCAUUAACUUGAAUUUGCUCUAAUACACCAUUUCUUCUUUUGAAGACUCUCUUUUGACCCAGAAUAAUUCUACGUGGUUCCUGUUUAAAAAAAGCAAAGACGUCCAGGAAAAGCUUUUUCAUUAUUUUACCAUAUGUUUCUGCGUUCUCGUUAAUAAAAUGUAAUACCUUUAAUCCAAAAUUGUCUUUGUAAAAACGUCGUCGUUGUGCUUCAGUUUCCAAGUUUUUGAAUGGAUUGGCUAUUGCGUUGUUCUCUUCAAAAAUCUCUUGCAUCCCAGGCACAUUUUGACACGAAAUAUUUUCAUUACCUAAUCGCCUUUUUACUUGUGUUUCCACCGUUUUUAAUGUGUCUUGAAUGAGUGAUUUUGUGUUUUCUAUAAUACUUGUAACAGUAGUCUUCGGCAUCGAGAACUCUUCUUGUAUCUUGAGAAUAUAUAAUGCAGCCAAUCUGGUGUUUUCUAUGGUAUCGAUAUUUUCUUCCAAUACUACGCCUCCAUUUUCAUCAUUUUCAUUAUUAUUUCUUACGUUUGUAUGCUCCUCAACACUAUUUGGCUGCGAUGAAUGCUCUUUUUACAUGCUUUCGCCAAGUAUAAUAACUUUUAAAUGUUCUUGUACAACCACUUAUGCCACACAAACAAUGGAAAUUUGGAUCAUUCCUGUGACACCUUCCAAUGUGGUUUAUCAAUUGACUGCGAUGUUCAGCAGAAAAAUCUCCACAUAUAUUGCACUGCCAGGGCAUGUAAGCGUCGAUGUAUAUGUAGAUAUGGCAAAUUUUCCUUUUAUUGUCUUGUUUAUCUUAAAAGCUUGAGGUUUUUCAGUCCAUUUUUAAGAGCCGUUAUUUUACAAAGCUUCUUGUGACUUCUUUCCAAAGUACCGGAACAGUGUUUAUCCCAAUAACCAGGACAAGCAAACAAUUUCAAGUAAUACAAAAUAAAACAAAUAAAAAUCAUAGCUAAAAAUAUUUUGUCAUAACUGUCAUUUCCGCUUGUUAAGACAUUUAUAGCAUUGUAUUCUGUAAAUGAAACUGUUUUGCUGUGUUGUUUUUGGGCAGGAUGGACAAAAAUUUGAGGGAGAAACUCGUUAAUUCCAGCGUAGAAGAAGCAACAGUUUCUAUAUUGGAAAAUCAAAAAGAUGGACAAAAAUUUGAGGGAGAAACUCGUUAAUUCCGGCGCAGAAGAAGCAACAGUUUCUAUAUUGGAAAAUCAAAAAUUGAAUGACUGUUUUAUAUUAAAUGAAGCGGAUAUCAGUGUUUUGGUUUUGUGUGGAGUAAAGGCAGGUGAUGCAAUGCGAAUUAAAAAAAUUUGCGCAGAAAUGGUGGUUCAGAACAAAGACACGACUGCAUCUAUGGUAAGUGUU